Molecule: long non-coding RNA, 256 nt
Filed under: Vigna radiata
Lineage: Eukaryota; Viridiplantae; Streptophyta; Magnoliopsida; Fabales; Fabaceae
Description: long non-coding RNA (VRAD_LNC001718)
Source: RNAcentral
GGGGGGGUUGUGAAAAGUUUGUGAAUCCAGAUAAACAAAAUGAAAACACGAAUGCAAACAACAAUGUAAACACAGAUGCAAACAAAAAUGUAAACAGAAAUGUAAAAACGGAAUGUGAAAACGGUUGGUCAUCAACUCAAUCACCAUGCUUCCAAUCACAGAUUAACAACAGGUACACACUACUCUAAUUCAAAUCCAACACGAAUCAUCCAACUAAGCGAAGGCUAAUUCGGUCUUCAGAAUUGCAAACUAAGNN